This is a long non-coding RNA of Mauremys reevesii (Reeves's turtle), 603 nucleotides long. RefSeq lists it as uncharacterized. NCBI's taxonomy places the organism in Eukaryota, Metazoa, Chordata, Testudines, Geoemydidae. The record is from RefSeq and is a predicted model, not a curated record. The transcript is spliced from 2 exons.
CCGGUUGCCAGGCAACCACGAGGGAGAGAGGAGAGGCCCUAUUCCAGCGAUAGGGCCCUGCUGGCUGGGGAGGGUGGCAGGUGCGAGGGUGGCCGCCAGCUGCCUGCUCAGAGGAGAGCAGUGUCUGAGAGGGAGUGAGAUUGAGUUCGGAUGAUGGACAGGAGAAGCCUGGGAAAGAAGCACUAGCCUGACCAAUAAGGUAAUUCCCAGUUUGUCGGAUUGUGUUGGAGCCAGUCACCAUGAGGCCAGCGCUGCUCCGGCCGCCAGGCCAGGACACCUGCCUGCUGCGAGCGAGUCUGAGCUCUGACCUAGGCGUUCUCAUCGUCUUCCCCUGAGCCCCGCAUCCCUUUGUGGUGAGCAGCAAUCUCGGCACGGGAGCAGCCUGACUCCUGUCUAAAGAGGACACCUGCCAGCUGCAAAUGCCAGCCCCUCCUUAGCUGCUGAGAAGUCCAGACUGAGCUCUCCACCUGAGGGUCAGUCGUGGAGUUGGGAGUGCACCAUCCGUUAGUUACCUGGGAGACCCCUAUUCCCUGCACGGUGUCCUCCAGAGAAUGCUUGGGGAUUUCAUUCUCUAUUGUCUAUUAAAGCUCUGGAGUGUCUUAC